Molecule: ribosomal RNA, 388 nt
Filed under: uncultured bacterium
Lineage: Bacteria
Description: bacterial SSU rRNA
Rfam family: Bacterial small subunit ribosomal RNA
Source: RNAcentral
AUUGAACGCUGGCGGCAUGCCUUACGCAUGCAAGUCGAACGGCAGCGGACCUUCGGGUGCCGGCGAGUGGCGAACGGGUGAGUAAUAUAUCGGAACGUACCUUUCAGUGGGGGAUAACGUAGCGAAAGUUACGCUAAUACCGCAUAUUCUGUGAGCAGGAAAGCAGGGGAUCGCAAGACCUUGCGCUGAUUGAGCGGCCGAUAUCAGAUUAGCUAGUUGGUGAGGUAAAGGCUCACCAAGGCGACGAUCUGUAGCGGGUCUGAGAGGAUGAUCCGCCACACUGGAACUGAGACACGGUCCAGACUCCUACGGGAGGCAGCAGUGGGGAAUUUUGGACAAUGGGCGCAAGCCUGAUCCAGCCAUGCCGCGUGAGUGAAGAAGGCCUCGG